AUGAGUGAUAAUACAUAUGCUGUUACUAGUUGAAGUCCUUUUCUUUAAAGAAACAGUUGUCGCCAAACAGUCCGUUAACAACCACUUUGCUUCCCUUUUAAGACUUUCCUUUCUACAUAAAAUCGUUGAUUUCACGGGAUUAUUACAUUCUUUACGCGUUUCCAUUUUUACAAAUCAAUCAAGGAUCGUUUCCAUAUUGCGGAACCUUCGAAUACUAUAAAAACCCGAAGACUUCACCUCCAUUUUACCCCACACAAAUCUGUUUCGACCAACCUACUCAACCACUUUUCGUUACACUUCAAGCAUUUGCCGGAGGACCAGACGUGGCUGGAAAACACGAGUACGUCGCCGGAGAUCGGAGUUCCGCCGGAGAUGUCCGAGAUCACCACGGAGAUCCCCUUUUCGUUACGUUUCGUUCGUAGAAAGAAACCCUCACUCUCUCUCUCUAACGGGACGUCGCCGGAAGUUCACCGGAGAAGAAAGCUCUCGCCGGAAAGUUCGAAGUUCGCCACGUCGGAAUUCACAACGGGAAUCAUCUCGUCUUAUUCGGAUAACCAGUACGUUCGUUUCUCUUGGAAUUUUCCAUCUUUACUCGUGCGUUAAUACAAGAAGCGCAACGCAAUCUAAGGUUGAUGUUCAAGAAAUAAAGCAAUCAAGCUAGGAUGGAACUAGAAACCCAUUUUAGCAUAGUAUUUUAUUAUGUUUGAAUUAUGAUGUACUUGAAAACAAUGUAUUCCCAUUUGAUAUUUAUGAAAUGAAUUUAAUUCA
Helianthus annuus (common sunflower) is the source of this 768-nucleotide long non-coding RNA. RefSeq lists it as uncharacterized. NCBI's taxonomy places the organism in Eukaryota, Viridiplantae, Streptophyta, Magnoliopsida, Asterales, Asteraceae. The record is from RefSeq and is a predicted model, not a curated record. The transcript is spliced from 4 exons.